GACGAACGCUGGCGGCGUGCCUAAUACAUGCAAGUCGAACGCUUCUUUCCUCCCGAGUGCUUGCACUCAAUUGGAAAGAGGAGUGGCGGACGGGUGAGUAACACGCGGGUAACCUACCCAUCAGAGGGGGAUAACACUUGGAAACAGGUGCUAAUACCGCAUAACAGUUUAUGCCGCAUGGCAUAAGAGUGAAAGGCGCUUUCGGGUGUCGUUGAUGGAUGGACCCGCGGUGCAUUAGCUAGUUGGUGAGGUAACGGCUCACCAAGGCCACGAUGCAUAGCCGACCUGAGAGGGUGAUCGGCCACACUGGGACUGAGACACGGCCCAGACUCCUACGGGAGGCAGCAGUAGGGAAUCUUCGGCAAUGGACGAAGGUCUGACCGAGCAACGCCGCGUGAGUGAAGAAGGUUUUCGGAUCGUAAAACUCUGUUGUUAGAGAAGAACAAGGACGUUAGUAACUGAACGUCCCCUGACGGUAUCUAACCAGAAAGCCACGGCUAACUACGUG
RNAcentral lists this ribosomal RNA (508 nucleotides) under uncultured bacterium. RNAcentral's name for it is "partial 16S ribosomal RNA". It matches the Rfam family "Bacterial small subunit ribosomal RNA", at positions 28 to 507 of the family's 1533-position model. The record is from RNAcentral.